GGUUGUCGCCCCCCUCCCGUGGUUUCGCCCCCCUCCCGUGGUUUCGCCUCCGCCCCCCGCACCCCUCGGUCGCCCCCCAAGCAAGCAGUUCCACCGUCACCUGCGGCCCGCCUCGCCUCGCUCCCUUCCUUCGUGCGCGGGAGCAGUUGCAUCGCGUGCCUCCCCAACCCAAAUCGCCGGUCCCCGCCACGAUCUGCUACCGCAUCAGCGCCCCACCGCAAAACCCGUGCUCCCGCCCCAUCACGACUCCACCGCCAACGUCGUGACUCCGCCAGGCCACCGCAAGGUGGUGCUGCUGCCGGUGCCCGCCGCUCCUCCCCGUCCUGCACUGCUGGGCGAUCUAGGCGCGGUGGCGCACCCAGCGGCGUAGUCGACGCGGAGGUCGACGUCUCCGAGCGGGCGCAUCGAGACGACCGUAGUCGUAGGGCUCGUAGUUGCCUCAUCGUCAUGUCUAUGGUCCCCAGCCCCCAGGUCCAGCAUCUACGAUCCUUUACAUUGUGUGUUCCAAUCGAUGUUUUUCUUUCUCAAUACGCUGCUACUGUUCUGCUAUAUUUUGGAUAUGGUUAGACAUUGGAAUGAUUAUCAUCCACUUGGCUCCUUUCGUCCCCGGUUGAUUUUAUUCUGCUGCUGUUGCAUGGCCUCCACUAGCACAUACUGGGGAAGGCAUCACUGGUUUGUCAGUGCAAGACUAUGUACAGUUUCAGUUCUGUUCUGUUGUGUGCCAUCUUGCUUAUAGUGAUACUUAGUAUGUUGUUCCUAGAUUCAAGAAUGACUUUGUUGUGGGAGCCUUUCAGGAAUGACGGUUAGUAAGUUUCCCCUACAACCCUGGUUGUAGUCAGAUUCUAACAUGUAACCUUGUAUAUGUCUCAACGUCUUUAGGAGAUGCUCACAAAUUAUCUGAAUCCACCAUCCACAAUCACAUCCAUUGGUCGGGUCUAGGUGCAUACCAUUCAUUGAAAUUAGAACCAGAAACUCAAGCAUGGUCUAUCCACGGUGGAACAGAGAGGCAUAUAGUGAAGGUGAAUAACAACUGACUUGCUUGAUACUAGAGAUUGUAGUAUAACACCUUGGCUAAAGUUAUGUGCUUCUCUGGUGGGACGAUGUUAUAGUUAGUCUCUACAAAAAGAAGCAACAAUGGUAGCAACUACCUAAUUGGUAGCUACAAAAGCUCUAUUCUCUUGAGCUUCCAUCCAAUCACGUCUGCAGCCAUGCAGAAAGAAGCUCGAGGGUAAGCAAGGCAUCGUGGUGGACCAAGUUGUGCAGCCAUCACCAUUCUUUGCUCAUGAAACCAGGUAGGAGGGAGGAGGAAGGAGGCAAUGACAUAAGCUUACAAUUUAGCUUAAACAUCUUACCUGGUGAUGUUAUUAUUUCAAUACUGGCUUAGAAGGAUACACUUAGCUAAAUUGAAGUACUAAGCUUUGUUCGCGAGAUGUUUGAUCAGACAAAGUGUUUCGGAACUUAAAUUCAAACAAUGUUGCAUAUAAGAUAUUUCUGCUAUAUGUGUUAGUUGGAAAUUAAUAUAUAUAGGAUUAUAACCAACUGGCAAAAUUUGCUCUUGAAUGGCCUUGGAGAAAAUACAAUGUUAAAGAGUGCACAUGGGUAACGUUGCUUCUCUUCUUAUGUUCCUUACAUCUUUUGUGUAAAUACCAUGUUAUUCUUAAAUACCAUAUUACUGAGAUGCUCCUUUUCAAUUACAGAUUCUUAUACCACUUCAAACGGUUACAGCAUGCGGUAUUUAUAAUCUUUUUGUUCUAGACAUGUCUAGAAGAGCUCUCUACAUAGUAGACCAAACUCCUAAACCUGAUCUCUACAAGAUUCAACCACUAAAAAAAUAUACAAACAAAAUUCAAAGGGUUUCCACUGUCCUAAAUGAAGUCAUGAAGGUUUCAUGCCUUUGGUGGCGAGAUGAUUUAAUCCUCUUUGACCAUAGAGUUGUAGAAGUCAACCAAUUUGAGUUAAAUGGGGACUUAUCUGGUUAUAAUGUUCUACUUGCCAUGCAUGCUUGGAAUGGUAAAAGGAUAGAAACAUCCAUUUACAAUAAUGAUAAUUAUGAAGUGAGGAAGCAUAUAUUGCUACACCUACUCACAUAUACCGAAAAAAAAAUAUAGCCAACAUACCGAAAGGUGUUCGAGAUCACCUUGAACGCUAUAUUAGUCUCACAAGCAAAAAACAAUGAACUGUUUCUUAUUUUUUCUCUAUCAGUGUGAAGUUAAUAAUGUCGUACUUGUUUCUUUAUUUUAAAUAUAAGUAGAUUGA
This is a long non-coding RNA of Sorghum bicolor (sorghum), 2256 nucleotides long. RefSeq lists it as uncharacterized. The transcript has 7 exons. The record is from RefSeq and is a predicted model, not a curated record. Lineage: Eukaryota; Viridiplantae; Streptophyta; Magnoliopsida; Poales; Poaceae.